Molecule: unclassified non-coding RNA, 180 nt
Filed under: uncultured fungus
Lineage: Eukaryota; Fungi
Description: sequence contains ITS1
Source: RNAcentral
CAGCAGCAGUCUCUCGGGGGGUUCCAGAGCUGGCCCGCAACGGCAAGUGCUCGCCUCCCGGUUUCCACGCUCACACACCCGUGCACUUUUGGGUGGAGGGGUCUUCCCCUCCCCCGUCUUCCACAACGCCUGUUUUUGUAACGCAUGUAGCCUUUGGGCUCUACGGAGCCUCUAAAGAAA